GUAAAACAAAUAAAAAGAAAAAAAAUUGUCACCGCAAAAAAGUGCUUUAAAUCAACAGACUGAUGUUCUGCGGCUUUUCACGUGGAUUACAACAGUUGCGCACGCCGACUCUCCAACGCCAGCUGAGUGUUAUUCGCGCGUUUCUGUGGUUCAGAGUGGCACACUCAAAGAGGAGGAGGACCCAUAAUUUGAGAUCACUGAGCCUUUAAUAGGAAUAGGGUUAUGGCAACUGCUACCGCCUCUCAGCGCCGCGCUGAUAAAGGAGGAGGUGUGGAUUCAUGAAGUGUUCGCAAGUCGCCUCAAACGCAGCUUUUUGCAGAAACAGUUUGAACACUUUAUUCUAUUUUUAUGAUAACUCAUAUUUUGCAGCAUUUUUUUUCCUCUAAUCCAAAUAAAUUUUAAAAUCUUUUCAGAUACUUCUUUUUUUGUUUUUAUUAUGCACACAAAGAAAUUCCACGAAGCACAUUGAUUUAAUGCUUCUUUUCUGACCCCCUCUUGUCAUUUCUUUUUCUUUCAUUGACCUGAAUGAAGACACAUGGAGGAGGAGAGCUUUUCUUCCUGAUGGGGGUUUCCUGCCCUCACUCCCCAUCAUCCCCACAAAGGCUGAAUGGCAGAUCGCUGGAUUGGCUAAGUGAUGAAAUGAUGACCCUAUUAUGAGAAGCGGUUCCAAAAUGAGAGAUCGCCGUCUGUCAGACGGACAACAACUGGACCUGUUACUCAGGAGUGCCGCUGCUCACCUCGCCGCUGGCAUCUGCGAGCUGUGCUGGGACGGGACAGCCCGCCAACAUAAACACAGCGUGAACAUCAAAGCCUGGCAGCCGGGACUGCAGCACCUGAACAUGCUGAGGCGCAAUCCACCUGACCUGGGAAUUGAGACAAAUUUGUGCAUAUUAUGUUUGAAGGAAGCAGAUUUUUAGCGAAUAUAGACAAUAUUCUAUUGUUUUUUUGAUUCGUCAGAAAUUGAAGAAGUUCCAGUUCAGUCUCAGUCAUGGCUAACAGAAUUACACGGAUAACCUCGGGUUACACUUUGCUCCUCACUAUUAAUGCGAUGCAGUUUGUGGCGGUGAAACACAUUCGAGUGCACACUCGGUGCUCUUCGCAAGCACACUGUUUAUGUUGACACAUGCAACUCUCUUCCUGAUGCAAAUGCAAUCUAAACAUUAAGCGGAGGGAAGGCAAGCGUGGCCCAUAAAGGCUGUGAGCUCCAAACACUUUGAACAGACAACUAUCACUAAUCACUCCCAGAGCAGUGCGGCGUGUAAUUACUCUGCCAAACGUUUGCCUUUCACAGCUUAGCACCGGGAGCCCUGACCCUGCGCCUCCCUGUCUUUCCUCACCGCCGUGCAUGUGGAGGGGUUGUGCCCCCCCCCCCCUGUCUUUUUUUACCACAGGGAUAGUAGGCAGGCAAGCUGAGCUCCCUCACAACAAUAUUUUGAGGAAAAAGUGGGAAAAGAGGACGCAGGGAGGGAGCGGGCUGGUGCUUCCGGCUUUGUGGGAGCCCAUUUAAACAGGCUUUGAAACCUUAGCCAUCCGGAGAUCAGAAAUAGCCUUAUUGACUGCAUGGGUCCACAAGUGACCGAGAGCGCCACGUUCACCCCACCGAACAGUUGGAGCGCUGGAGGAGGGAUAAAGAACGGGGGGGCAUCUAUAAAGUCUCAGGACAUUAAUUUUACAUCAGGAGAAUAUUCUGUUUUUCUUAUUAUAAGUGACACACGCUUGUAUCUUUUUUUUUUUUUUUUGGCGGGGGGUGUUGCAUAAUUUCUUUGUAUUGUCUGAGGAGUUGGAGACAUCCAAUUCUCCUCGCUUGCCUGUCCCUGAGUCACAUUUAUUGAUAUUAGUGAUGCGGCUGUCACUCUUCGGCGGGAUCUGCCCCCCCCACACUCAAUAGGUGGAUGUUGAUAAGAUGACACAAUGCAAAUAUGGAGUGUGAAAGCAGGAGAAGGGGGGGGGGCUCCUUGGCAAGCAGGUACUGUGUGCUGGGAGCGGCAUCCCAUAAUGACUAUUAGCUGGAUUUCACAGCCAGCUUCUGAUCUCUGGCAAUGACAGGGGCCUUUAUAAGAGGAUGGGUGAGCUGCAACCCCCUCCUCAUAACCCCCCUCAUUCAUGUGCAUAAAUACAUGCACUCAAUAGCGCACAUACAACAGGGAGCUAAAAAAAUCAUGCUUUUGGGCCAUACUUUCAGAAAGAGUCUUUUAAAGAGCAGAAAUCUGGACAUCUUACACCUUAGGUUGAGGACCGAAUAUGGAAUUACUUUUGUGCCAAAAGUUUUUACAUCAAAAUUUUUUAAAUUGCAAACAAAAGUGUAAAUAAUAAAGAUUCAUGAUAUCUAAUAUUUGCUUUCAAAAAUGUAUUUUUUUUUUACAUUUACAAACUUUUUGUAUUUUUUUUUGCUUUCAAAAAAUAUUUUUGCGAUUGCAGCCCAAAUGUUUUUAGAUACGUUGUGUCUCGUCUCACUUUCACCCCAUCUUUAAAUUUGCGUCGAGACGUUUGGCGAGAUGAGGCACAACACGUCUGAAGACAUUUGCAAUCGCUAAAAUAUUUUUGUAAGUUAAAAAAAAACUGUAAAAAUAUUUUUUUAAAAGCAAAUAUUAAAUAUUCUUAUUUGCAAACAUUUAUUCUUAACACUUUUCAUUUUGUUUCCAA
Molecule: long non-coding RNA, 2643 nt
Organism: Oryzias melastigma (Indian medaka)
Lineage: Eukaryota; Metazoa; Chordata; Actinopteri; Beloniformes; Adrianichthyidae
Exons: 4
Source: RefSeq, a predicted model, not a curated record